RNAcentral lists this long non-coding RNA (4318 nucleotides) under Sus scrofa (pig). RNAcentral's name for it is "lncRNA (ENSSSCG00050029017.1)". The record is from RNAcentral. Lineage: Eukaryota; Metazoa; Chordata; Mammalia; Artiodactyla; Suidae.
AGGACAGUAAGUCACUUGUUCUGUUCUCAAUCUACCCUCCAAAUUUCCUUCUCCCUCUGUAUUAGAAUGUUAGAGCUGCCAGACAGGUAGAAUCAUGUCUCCACUGUGAUUUUACUUUAAAUGUCCUGCUGUCAUUAUUUCAAACAUUUUUUCCCCUCUUUAUUUUCUCUUCACAUGAGCAUACAUGUUUGCCAGGCACGUUCUUGCUUUUCUUUUUUUCUCUUAUUUUCCGUCCCUCCUGCCCUUGUUUUCUUUCCUUCUCUCUGACUGUGGAAACUGUCAGGUGGCCUGGCUGGCAUCCUCUUACCUUUUGGGGAACUGUGCUACCCAGAGACCUCCGUUUAUUAUGCCUCGGGCGCUCUUUCUUUAAUGCUGCGUCUCUCUGAGGGAUAGUUAAUGAUCUUUGCAGCAAAUGAAGGUGAACUGUAGCUGCAUUAUUGUUAUAAUACAGCCAACUGUACGGAACAGAUUGGGCUGAGCUUUGAACAGCUGGGGCUGGCAGAGUGAGUCUUGACUCCUCUCGGAACAGUUCCAGAACCGCCAAAUCAUCAAACUUGAAGGGGAAAGAGGGACAAGAAAGGUUAUAGGGAGAGUGGUUCCUGCAGGUGCUUUUUUGCCUUUGCGAUCUACCUUUUUGAAAUUUUCACGGGUUUGUCGAUCUGGCAAAGCACAGACUAAUUGAACCCAGGGGCUGCUGUCACUGCUCUUGGACUUGCCUGCUUAGUGGCUGGGAUGGUAUUUUAUUGUUCAUUUGCAGGUACCGAGCCUGUCCUAGAUAGAUGCUUCUGUUAAAGCGUGUACCCCUCUUUAGUCCACCGAAACUGUGUGUAGUUUUAAGGAGAGGUUUGAUUUGCAAAGUAUUUGAUUUCUCUAGAACUAUAAUCUCCCCUGGUAAAUGCCAGCUGAAGCUGAGGAAGAGCUACCUGCUACCUGCCUUGAGGGGGCAAGGCAGGGGCUUUGCAGCUCACCAGAGUCCUCACCUAGCACCCAUGCACUUAGUUCUUGACGAGAGUCUGUAGGGGAAGAUCAGGAGAGAGCAGGCCAGGGCUUUGGGAUGGAGAAGAAUUGGGUUUCACUUCUAGCUUCACUGCCAGCUUUGCCUUUUGGGGUAAGUUCCUUAGCUUUCUGAGUCUCUCUUUCCCUGUGUAUAAAGUGGGAAUAUGAUUCUUUACCUUAGGAUUGUUGGAAAGAACUUUAAGUGAGAUAGGAUAUUCGACACUCUUUCAAAAGAGCUACGUCCAGGCCUAGUAGGAUGGUAUACGCAUUAGCUCGCAUUGUCAUUUUCAGCUGCUCUGUAUCAGAGUGACUGGAGACCAGUUGUUGAGAGUCGUAUUGACUGUGUUAUAAAAUGAGAUAGACACUUGCAUUACUCAGGACCAUGAGGGGAGUGUCUGGGCUUCCUGUAUUUCUGUUUCGGUCCUGCAACAGAGAAUUUACAUUGUCUCUAGGGGGAAAUGAUACAGUAGAGACUGAGUUCUUAGGGGUGGCGUUACUUACAGAGAGAAAAGGCUUAUAAUUUAGUUCACAUUAGGUAGACCGUGGGUUCGCUCUUGACUGGUCUAACCUCCUGAAGCUUCUGUCUCCCCAUCCCUAUCCUCAUAGAGAUAACAUUCAAAUCAGGUUCAUGACAGCUCUGAGUACUGAAGGUGACCAGAAGCUUCAUGGAAGGAAAGGUUCAGAAAUGAGAGCACUGCGUCGGUUGAUACGGUUUCUUAAAAGUGGGAGUUGACUUUAGGCUUUGUUAGGCUUGUAAUCUAGGAAAGACAGUUUAUCAGCACUUUGGGCACACUGAUUCUUUGACAUUUCAAAGGACUUUUUCUACAUUAUUGCACUCAGUUGGUGUCUUUUCUCUCUAGCCCCCGACCUUUGAUCUAUUAGAAGCUUCCAGCACGCAUUUGACGGCCACAUUAGGUGGGCUUCCUGGUUAUUAUAUAUGCAGUGUACAAGUACAGGUUCCCCCCCCCCCCAGUUUUUCUACUUCCUGUAGAGACGGAUUUCCUUUAGGUGUGGAUAUUUCACUUAAACACAUACUCCGAUUUCAAAAUGGUAAGGGACACCAGUGCAGUAAUUUUAGUGUACUUUGUGAAGGUAUCUGGAAAAGUCUGCUGUAUUCCAGUGAAAAGCUUCUUAGAAGGAAGCUAGGGGGCUAGCAAAUGUCAAGGCAGGUCUAGGACCCAUGGGAGGAAAUUUGCAUAAAAAACUUUGUCAGUAGCUCAGCUAUAGAGUUCAGAAUUCAGGCUGUGUCCUGUGUACGACCAGUUACGUUUUCAUGUCCUGUCUUAAAUCUUAGAUGAGUCAAUGUCAUCAUUACGAUAGAUGGUCCCUGAACAAAAGGCAUGAAUGAAGAAAGCCUUACUUUAAUGUUUAGAGCCUUACUUUUAAAAGCUGUCUGAGUGGACAUGUAGGUCUACCUCUGGACCUUGAAAUUAGGCCCAAACCCAGAUCUGGGCCCAAAAGAUUACUCAAGCCCCUUCUCAUUCCUGCCUCCAUCUGACAUUGUUCAGGGAAAGAGGGAAGGAGGUAGAGGAAGACAAUGGGAGAAUUUAGAAAAUGAAUAUUCUCUACACUUUAUAACCCUCUGUCUAAAUCACUGAAAACAUUGUGGUAUGUUUAUUUAUUUUUUUUUUAUUUUUCUUCUUUGGGCCACACCUGUGGCAUAUGGAAGUUCCCAGGUCAGGGAUGGAAUCUGAGCCGCCGCUGCGACCUGUGCCACAGCUGCAGCAAGGCUGGAUCCUUAACGCAUUGUGCCACAUUGGGAACUGUGAGGUGUGUUUAAAUCUAAGGAAACAGUGCAGUUGAUCCAUAUGAAGUCGUCAGUAUUUUAGUUCUACAAAGAGGGUAGUUUUGCGUAGUUCAACUGAUUAUAAUUAGUACAUUUUUUGCUAGAAUUUCUAUAGGUCCCCUAGCUGGGUGUAGGAAGUGGUUUUAAGCCAGAAAUGUUUUGGCAUCCAAUCGGUGAUUAUUUUGCAUGAAUUUUGCUAGGCUACACAGGUAUUUUCUGAAAUAUUUCUCAGGCAUUUUUUUCUGAAAUUAGAGUUGGUGCCUCAGAUCUCAUAGUAGAGGAGACGGAAGGUGCAACAGUGUGAGGGGGCCGAUCCAGUGGGGUCUUAUCAUUCAUGAGGAGGACAUGCCGGGCAGGCUGGGUUUAGUUGUGAGGCCUCAAAGCUUUUGAUCUUCGCUGGUUUCAUGUUUGUUUUGUUUUGAAAGUAAGAAAUGGAUGUGAAAGCAUGAAAAGCUCUGCACACAGACAUGAUAUGUUACAUGUCCAUGUUAGGGUGGACUGACCCUUGUUGAAAGUUGUGAAGUUUGCUCAAGAAGGCAUUCCCCCCCCCACCCCGCUUCUUUUUUUGUGAGUCAGAAUGAGUCCAUGAAAACACAUUCACUUAGACAAGAAAAAUGAAAAGUACCUGAGAAAGCCUGGAGGUAGUGAAAUCAAUGGUCCCACGUGGGUGGCAUUGGGCUGGCGUGUGGAUGUGUAUAUAUGCACGAUUCUUGGGGGAGGCUGGUUCCGACUGAAAGAGACAGAUGCUUCCUGGUUUUCAAAGCCUCUUUUUUUUUUUUUUUUUUUUCCCUGCUGUUUUAUUUUAAGGCGGGUUGCCUUUCGGAUCUGUCAGUGAGGGCGUGGUGAGCCUCCAGGCACUUGCACCCACCUCUGUAACUUGCUGUCCUUUGCUUAGUAUCGAGUGGAAGUGCGAAGCACCACAAACUGCUUUGAGCAGAGCCCACUUCCCUUCACCCACAGAGACCGUGAAGCAGUUACACCAACAUCAAUCAAGGAAAACCCACAGGCUGAACUCACACCGUUGAAGCAGGUGCGUGAGUGAGCAUUCUCCAGCAGGCGCACGUGACUGAGGCGCGCCUCGGCGUCUUGCCCGCAGAUGUCAGUUACGGUGGCUGUGGGGGGCGGUGCCCGCUGCUCACAGAGCCCAGGCGAGCCUGUCGUGCUUGGAGGGCAGAGGAAGUGUGGCUCCGGGCAUCUCAGUAGCUGAUGUACUGAGACCGGGGGGAAAAGUGCAAGGUCUAAUAUCUGUGUGUGUACAUAUAUUAAUAUAUAGCAAAUAUAGGUAUGUAUAUGGAUGUGGGCAUACACGUGUAGAUAUGUGUGUGUGUGUGUGUGUGUAGGCACACACAUGCCAUUUUAAAGCAAAACUCAAGUGGGCCAGGAGAUAAAGAGAGAAUAUGCACAUCUAAGACAUUCUUCACUAUCUGAUGAUAAGAGAAGGUGAUAAUCUUAAAAAGGCACAUUUCUCAUCCCAAGUUGCACCAUCCUGAUACAUAGUGAGCUUCAGGAAAUGUCUACAAAACUUUGGCAUGAUCU